CCUACGGGCUGCACCAGUAGGGAAUCUUCGGCAAUGGACGAAAGUCUGACCGAGCAACGCCGCGUGAGUGAGGAAGGUUUUCGGAUUGUAAAACUCUGUUGUUAGAGAAGAACAAGUAGGAGAGUAACUGCUCUUACCUUGACGGUAUCUAACCAGAAAGCCACGGCUAACUACGUGCCAGCAGCCGCGGUAAUACGUAGGUGGCAAGCGUUGUCCGGAUUUAUUGGGCGUAAAGCGAGCGCAGGCGGUCUUUUAAGUCUGAUGUGAAAGCCCUCGGCUCAACCGAGGAAGGUCAUUGGAAACUGGAGGACUUGAGUGCAGAAGAGGAGAGUGGAAUUCCAUGUGUAGCGGUGAAAUGCGCAGAUAUAUGGAGGAACACCAGUGGCGAAGGCGACUCUCUGGUCUGUAACUGACGCUGAAGCUCGAAAGCGUGGGGAGCAAACAGGAUUAGAUACCCUGGUAGUC
RNAcentral lists this ribosomal RNA (465 nucleotides) under uncultured bacterium. Its description in RNAcentral is "bacterial SSU rRNA". It matches the Rfam family "Bacterial small subunit ribosomal RNA", at positions 338 to 795 of the family's 1533-position model. The record is from RNAcentral.